UUUAUGGAGAGUUUGAUCCUGGCUCAGGAUGAACGCUGGCGGCGUGCCUAAUACAUGCAAGUCGAGCGAACAGACGAGGAGCUUGCUCCUCUGACGUUAGCGGCGGACGGGUGAGUAACACGUGGAUAACCUACCUAUAAGACUGGGAUAACUUCGGGAAACCGGAGCUAAUACCGGAUAAUAUAUUGAACCGCAUGGUUCAAUAGUGAAAGACGGUUUUGCUGUCACUUAUAGAUGGAUCCGCGCCGCAUUAGCUAGUUGGUAAGGUAACGGCUUACCAAGGCAACGAUGCGUAGCCGACCUGAGAGGGUGAUCGGCCACACUGGAACUGAGACACGGUCCAGACUCCUACGGGAGGCAGCAGUAGGGAAUCUUCCGCAAUGGGCGAAAGCCUGACGGAGCAACGCCGCGUGAGUGA
RNAcentral lists this ribosomal RNA (418 nucleotides) under Staphylococcus epidermidis. Its description in RNAcentral is "bacterial SSU rRNA". It matches the Rfam family "Bacterial small subunit ribosomal RNA", at positions 1 to 408 of the family's 1533-position model. The record is from RNAcentral. Lineage: Bacteria; Bacillati; Bacillota; Bacilli; Caryophanales; Staphylococcaceae.